Long non-coding RNA from Hemicordylus capensis (graceful crag lizard), 362 nucleotides. RefSeq lists it as uncharacterized. The transcript is spliced from 2 exons. The record is from RefSeq and is a predicted model, not a curated record. NCBI's taxonomy places the organism in Eukaryota, Metazoa, Chordata, Lepidosauria, Squamata, Cordylidae.
CAAACAAUCCGUAACUAAAAGUAGAAGCAAAAAAUGGGAGAAGCGCCGGCGGAAUCUGUCCAAUCUACAUAAAGAGCAGCAGAUGCCCCCUAAUGUUUAUAAAACGGGGCCUGCUCCGAAAGAUAAAGAAAUAAAGGAAGAUCAACAUAUGUUGCUGAAUGAGUAUGCACGUUUGUGAAGAAUACAGAACUCUGACAGGCAGAAUGGGAAGCACUGGCUAUUGGAAUGAUGGGGACAGCAUCAGGAUCUUAUUACCUACCUACUCAGAGUUUUUGGUGGUAGAAAUAUAUGCCAGAUCCUUCUGCCUCAAAUGAUGUACAAUAUACACAUUUAAAACCAAUAAAACAAUUUUAAAAACUCAA